RNAcentral lists this ribosomal RNA (253 nucleotides) under uncultured bacterium. Its description in RNAcentral is "partial 16S ribosomal RNA". It matches the Rfam family "Bacterial small subunit ribosomal RNA", at positions 524 to 776 of the family's 1533-position model. The record is from RNAcentral.
UACGUAGGGGGCAAGCGUUAUCCGGAUUUACUGGGUGUAAAGGGAGCGUAGACGGCGACGCAAGUCUGAAGUGAAAGGCGGGGGCCCAACCCCCGGACUGCUUUGGAAACUGUAUGGCUGGAGUGCAGGAGAGGUAAGUGGAAUUCCUAGUGUAGCGGUGAAAUGCGUAGAUAUUAGGAGGAACACCAGUGGCGAAGGCGGCUUACUGGACUGUAACUGACGUUGAGGCUCAAAAGCGUGGGGAGCAAACAGG